AGCUUUAUAUUCAAUAUGAUAUGAAAUUGCAAAUUUCAAGGUAUAUAAUUAUAAUAUAUUAAGGCUU
This 67-nucleotide transfer RNA is filed under the name Tacola larymna. RNAcentral describes it as "tRNA-Cys". The record is from RNAcentral. Lineage: Eukaryota; Metazoa; Arthropoda; Insecta; Lepidoptera; Nymphalidae.